GACGAACGCUGGCGGCGUGCUUAACACAUGCAAGUCGAACGGAAAGGCCCUGCUUUUGUGGGGUGCGCGAGUGGCGAACGGGUGAGUAACACGUGAGUAACCUGCCCUUGACUUUGGGAUAACUUCAGGAAACGGGGGCUAAUACCGUAGGGGAUCUCCUGCCGCAGGGGGGGGGUGGGAAAUUUUCGGGGGUUGGGGAUGGACGCGCGGCAUCUGAGUUUGUUGGUGGGGUAGUGGCUUACCAAGGCUUUGACGGGUAGCCGGCCUGAGAGGGUGACCGGCCACAUUGGGACUGAGAUACGGCCCAGACUCCUACGGGAGGCAGCAGUGGGGAAUAUUGCACAAUGGGCGGAAGCCUGAUGCAGCAACGCCGCGUGCGGGAUGACGGCCUUCGGGUUGUAAACCGCUUUGGCCUGUGACGAAGCGUGAGUGACGGUAAUGGGUAAAGAAGCACCGGCUAACUACGUG
This 468-nucleotide ribosomal RNA is filed under the name uncultured bacterium. RNAcentral describes it as "partial 16S ribosomal RNA". It matches the Rfam family "Bacterial small subunit ribosomal RNA", at positions 28 to 507 of the family's 1533-position model. The record is from RNAcentral.